AUGCAGAGAGCGAGCGAGCGAGCAUGGGUCCCGGACCAAAGCACGGUCGCAGACGUCGUCGUCAGUCAGGCUUGUUUGUUCCUUCACUCCACCAAACACCAGAAAUCUGUUGCCGCCGCCUGCCGCUUAUUAUGGUGCCAUGGAACGAAGCAAACCAAUCAAUCACAGCCACAAGGUCGUUCCCGGUCCUCCUCCACCGCCGCCGGCCGCCGGCCGCCGCCUAUGCUUUCCUCUCCCGGGAACCCCCAUCCACGGUCUGAACUCUUAAUGUAUACAGCAAGUCAUAUUGGCUAUACUUUUGGCCUCUACGAAUGA
Molecule: ribosomal RNA, 315 nt
Filed under: Triticum aestivum (bread wheat)
Lineage: Eukaryota; Viridiplantae; Streptophyta; Magnoliopsida; Poales; Poaceae
Description: partial small subunit ribosomal RNA
Source: RNAcentral